GGAUAUAGCUCAGUUGGUAGUGUUCUUGCCUCACAUGCAAUAGGCCCUGGGUUGAUCCCCAGUACCA
This 67-nucleotide transfer RNA is filed under the name Marmota monax (woodchuck). RNAcentral's name for it is "tRNA.Val". Lineage: Eukaryota; Metazoa; Chordata; Mammalia; Rodentia; Sciuridae. The record is from RNAcentral.